CUACGGGUGGCUCCAGUGGGGAAUAUUGGACAAUGGGCGAAAGCCUGAUCCAGCAAUGCCGCGUGUGUGAAGAAGGCCUUCGGGUUGUAAAGCACUUUUGUUAGGGAGGAAAGUCUGGGAACUAAUACUUUCUGGAUAUGACGUUACCUAAAGAAUCAGCACCGGCUAACUCUGUGCCAGCAGCCGCGGUAAUACAGAGGGUGCAAGCGUUAAUCGGAAUUACUGGGCGUAAAGGGUCUGUAGGCGGAUCAUUAAGUCGGAUGUGAAAUCCCUGGGCUCAACCUGGGAACUGCAUUCGAUACUGGUGAUCUAGAGUGUGCAAGAGGAUGGGGGAAUUCCUGGUGUAGCAGUGAAAUGCGUAGAUAUCAGGAGGAACAUCAAUGGCGAAGGCACCUUUCUGGGGCAACACUGACGCUGAGAGACGAAAGCGUGGGGAGCAAACAGGAUUAGAUACCCGCGUAGUC
This 464-nucleotide ribosomal RNA is filed under the name uncultured bacterium. Its description in RNAcentral is "partial 16S ribosomal RNA". It matches the Rfam family "Bacterial small subunit ribosomal RNA", at positions 339 to 795 of the family's 1533-position model. The record is from RNAcentral.